GGGACAACACAAGCUGGGCAUCCAGUUUACUGCCAACAGCUCCAUGAGCCAUGGGGCUCACUGGAGCACCACUGCCCAGAGACGGAGCAUUAUUGAUGGGCAGAGAUGAGCCAGGUGCUGCUGAUUGGCUGGUACAGCGGAAGGGGUGGAGUCAGAUGAGCCAACAGUCAGUGAGUUGAGGAGGCCUGAAGAACCUUGACACUGAUCCCCAAGGUGCUCUGGGCAGCGACCUCUCCCUACAUACAGCAGCGCUGAAGUACGGGACAAAUCGCUUCCUUUUCAGCUCAAAACGAAACGCGGCCGGCCCGGCGGCCGCCACGGGUCUCUCCCCCUCCUUCCUCCCCUUUCCCUCAUCCACCUGCUGGCCUCUGUGGAGGUUCUGCCAUAGCCACCACCAAGCAGUUAUUUUUACACAUCUGCCAGCAUCUUGUGAUUCUGACAAAUCGUCUGGAACCAAAACUGGAGCUGGUAGCUGAAGGUUUUCACCGGGAGUGAGCAAGAUGGACAGGAUCAGAAAUGAGUACAUCAAGGGGACAGCCCAGGUUGAGUGGUUGUGAUUUCACGUGUUUUCCUAUCAUUUUAUUUGAAUGUUGUCACAUAUUAUGCACAACAUAGGCUUGUAAUGUAUUUUUAAUUUCCCUGCUUUUAGCACAGAAAGUGCCUUCUGUGGAAGACAAUGAGGACCGUGAAACAGAAAUUAAUCGGUCUGACAUGAAGUGGAAAAAGGUUUGAGCAGAAAUGAAAAAUCACAGUUUGAAAUGUUGCUUUUCUGUCUGUUAUUGAACUCAGCAGCUGUUCUGACAUCUGCAAGUCAUUCAAGUAACUGGAAUACAGAGCAGACAGGACACAAAAUAUGGUUCAAAAUAUGGGGGAGGGGGGGAGAGAGUUCCUAAGUGACAGAAAAUAUUUGCCUAGAUCAAAUCCCAUAUGUAAAUACUUCAAAGUGCUUUUCCCCUUUUUUACUUAAUCUGCCCAGACCCUGUGUCCUCACAUAACAAUUUGGCUUUUCUGCACUUUACAAAGUGAUGUAAAACACAGAAUGAAGUGUAAAGUGAUGUUGACUUUAUCUUUGUUGUAAAUUAAAUGCAUUGUUCCCAUUUGAAAAGUUAUUAAAAUGAUGUAAGAACUAUCAAACAAAGUAAGACUUCCUCUUUCAAUUUAGAUGAUGAGGAAAUGAUUAAGAUGUAAACAUAAGGGGGUAAGGCUAAAUAAGUAUAUACUUCUGCCUACUCCUUUUCAAACAACUGCAUGGAAUGAUAUUAUGAAAUGUUGGUGAAUGUAUAUGUUUGAAAUAAAAAUGAACUGAA
Oreochromis niloticus (Nile tilapia) is the source of this 1307-nucleotide long non-coding RNA. RefSeq lists it as uncharacterized. The transcript has 3 exons. The record is from RefSeq and is a predicted model, not a curated record. Lineage: Eukaryota; Metazoa; Chordata; Actinopteri; Cichliformes; Cichlidae.